Molecule: ribosomal RNA, 1300 nt
Filed under: Ralstonia solanacearum
Lineage: Bacteria; Pseudomonadati; Pseudomonadota; Betaproteobacteria; Burkholderiales; Burkholderiaceae
Description: bacterial SSU rRNA
Rfam family: Bacterial small subunit ribosomal RNA
Source: RNAcentral
UGGGGGGUGCUUGCUACCUGCCGGCGAGUGGCGAACGGGUGAGUAAUACAUCGGAACGUGCCCUGUAGUGGGGGAUAACUAGUCGAAAGACUAGCUAAUACCGCAUACGACCUGAGGGUGAAAGUGGGGGACCGCAAGGCCUCAUGCUAUAGGAGCGGCCGAUGUCUGAUUAGCUAGUUGGUGGGGUAAGGGCCCACCAAGGCGACGAUCAGUAGCUGGUCUGAGAGGACGAUCAGCCACACUGGGACUGAGACACGGCCCAGACUCCUACGGGAGGCAGCAGUGGGGAAUUUUGGACAAUGGGGGCAACCCUGAUCCAGCAAUGCCGCGUGUGUGAAGAAGGCCUUCGGGUUGUAAAGCACUUUUGUCCGGAAAGAAAUCGCACUGGUUAAUACCUGGUGUGGAUGACGGUACCGGAAGAAUAAGGACCGGCUAACUACGUGCCAGCAGCCGCGGUAAUACGUAGGGUCCAAGCGUUAAUCGGAAUUACUGGGCGUAAAGCGUGCGCAGGCGGUUGUGCAAGACCGAUGUGAAAUCCCCGGGCUUAACCUGGGAAUUGCAUUGGUGACUGCACGGCUAGAGUGUGUCAGAGGGAGGUAGAAUUCCACGUGUAGCAGUGAAAUGCGUAGAGAUGUGGAGGAAUACCGAUGGCGAAGGCAGCCUCCUGGGAUAACACUGACGCUCAUGCACGAAAGCGUGGGGAGCAAACAGGAUUAGAUACCCUGGUAGUCCACGCCCUAAACGAUGUCAACUAGUUGUUGGGGAUUCAUUUCCUUAGUAACGUAGCUAACGCGUGAAGUUGACCGCCUGGGGAGUACGGUCGCAAGAUUAAAACUCAAAGGAAUUGACGGGGACCCGCACAAGCGGUGGAUGAUGUGGAUUAAUUCGAUGCAACGCGAAAAACCUUACCUACCCUUGACAUGCCACUAACGAAGCAGAGAUGCAUUAGGUGCUCGAAAGAGAAAGUGGACACAGGUGCUGCAUGGCUGUCGUCAGCUCGUGUCGUGAGAUGUUGGGUUAAGUCCCGCAACGAGCGCAACCCUUGUCUCUAGUUGCUACGAAAGGGCACUCUAGAGAGACUGCCGGUGACAAACCGGAGGAAGGUGGGGAUGACGUCAAGUCCUCAUGGCCCUUAUGGGUAGGGCUUCACACGUCAUACAAUGGUGCAUACAGAGGGUUGCCAAGCCGCGAGGUGGAGCUAAUCCCAGAAAAUGCAUCGUAGUCCGGAUCGUAGUCUGCAACUCGACUACGUGAAGCUGGAAUCGCUAGUAAUCGCGGAUCAGCAUGCCGCCGAUGCGCC